RNAcentral lists this ribosomal RNA (517 nucleotides) under Fusarium oxysporum. Its description in RNAcentral is "eukaryotic LSU rRNA". The stretch from base 148 to 301 matches the Rfam family "5.8S ribosomal RNA". Lineage: Eukaryota; Fungi; Ascomycota; Sordariomycetes; Hypocreales; Nectriaceae. The record is from RNAcentral.
UUGGCUCGAGCUCACUCCAACCCCUGUGACAUACCACUUGUUGCCUCGGCGGAUCAGCCCGCUCCCGGUAAAACGGGACGGCCCGCCAGAGGACCCCUAAACUCUGUUUCUAUAUGUAACUUCUGAGUAAAACCAUAAAUAAAUCAAAACUUUCAACAACGGAUCUCUUGGUUCUGGCAUCGAUGAAGAACGCAGCAAAAUGCGAUAAGUAAUGUGAAUUGCAGAAUUCAGUGAAUCAUCGAAUCUUUGAACGCACAUUGCGCCCGCCAGUAUUCUGGCGGGCAUGCCUGUUCGAGCGUCAUUUCAACCCUCAAGCACAGCUUGGUGUUGGGACUCGCGUUAAUUCGCGUUCCCCAAAUUGAUUGGCGGUCACGUCGAGCUUCCAUAGCGUAGUAGUAAAACCCUCGUUACUGGUAAUCGUCGCGGCCACGCCGUUAAACCCCAACUUCUGAAUGUUGACCUCGGAUCAGGUAGGAAUACCCGCUGAACUUAAGCAUAUCAAACGGGGGAGAGAAAA